Molecule: transfer RNA, 77 nt
Filed under: Spirosoma endophyticum
Lineage: Bacteria; Pseudomonadati; Bacteroidota; Cytophagia; Cytophagales; Cytophagaceae
Also listed under: 1 other name
Description: tRNA_Asn_GTT
Rfam family: tRNA
About the family: Transfer RNA (tRNA) molecules are approximately 80 nucleotides in length. Their secondary structure includes four short double-helical elements and three loops (D, anti-codon, and T loops).
Source: RNAcentral
UCCCGAAUAGCUCAGUCGGUUAGAGCAUCUGACUGUUAAUCAGAGGGUCGCUGGUUCGAGCCCAGCUUCGGGAGCCC